AUGACGAGGGGUGAUGGAGUCCACCUGAACGGCCCUUUCUUUCAUAAGGAAAGGGAUGAUGACUCCUGUGAGAGA
This 75-nucleotide non-coding RNA is filed under the name unclassified sequences. The record is from Rfam.